Molecule: ribosomal RNA, 591 nt
Filed under: Triticum aestivum (bread wheat)
Lineage: Eukaryota; Viridiplantae; Streptophyta; Magnoliopsida; Poales; Poaceae
Description: partial small subunit ribosomal RNA
Source: RNAcentral
AUGCCGUACACGCCGCUCGUCACCAAGGGCGGCAGCCCCGCGCACUACAUCUCCGUCAAGGCCAUCCAAGUGGAGGACACCCGCGUCUCCGUCUCAGAGCGCGUGCUCGCCACCGGCGGCGUGAUGCUCAGCACGAGGCUGCCCUACGCCUUGCUCCGCCACGACGUGUACCGCCCGUUGGUGGACGCGUUCACCAAGGCCCUGGCGGCGCAGCCUGCCAACGGAGCGCCCGUGGCGCGCGCCGUGAAGCCUGUGGCACCGUUCGAGCUGUGCUACGACACGAAGUCGCUGGGCAACAACCCCGGCGGGUACUGGGUGCCGAACGUCGGGCUGGCGCUCGACGGCGGGAGUGACUGGUGGAUGACUGGGAAGAACUUCAUGGUGGACGUCAAGCCGGGGACGGCGUGCGUUGCGUUCGUGGAGAUGAAGGGGGUGGAGGCCGGCGACGGCAGGGCGCCGGCGGUGAUCCUCGGAGGAGCCCAGUUGGAGGAGCUCGUGCUCGACUUCGACAUGGAGAAGAAGCGGCUCGGGUUUCUCAGGUUGCUACACUAUAUGGAUUGCAGCAGAUUCAAUUUCACUCGAAGCGCUUAG